This 245-nucleotide ribosomal RNA is filed under the name uncultured bacterium. Its description in RNAcentral is "partial 16S ribosomal RNA". It matches the Rfam family "Bacterial small subunit ribosomal RNA", at positions 333 to 571 of the family's 1533-position model. The record is from RNAcentral.
UCAGCCUACGGGGCGCAGCAGUAGGGAAUCUUCCACAAUGGACGAAAGUCUGAUGGAGCAACGCCGCGUGAGUGAAGAAGGGUUUCGGCUCGUAAAGCUCUGUUGGUAGUGAAGAAAGAUAGAGGUAGGAACUGGCCUUUAUUUGACGGUAAUUACUUAGAAAGUCACGGCUAACUACGUGCCAGCAGCCGCGGUAAUAAGUAGGUGGCAAGCGUUGUCCGGAUUUAUUGGGCGGAAAGCGAGUG